AAAAAGUCAAAUCCUAUGUUUCCGUGUCCAACUUUGACUGUCCGUCUUAUAUGAAAUUUUUUUAUAAUUCGUAUUUUCAUUGUUGUUAGAUGAUAAAACAUGAUUAAUAUUUUAUGCGUGACUUGUCUUUUUAAUAUUUUUCAUAAUUUUUUCAAAUAAGACGAACGGUCAAAUGUUGGGCACGGAAACCAGGGUUUGUCUUUUU
Non-coding RNA from Oryza barthii, 205 nucleotides. The record is from Rfam. Lineage: Eukaryota; Viridiplantae; Streptophyta; Magnoliopsida; Poales; Poaceae.